GUUAUACACACACACAUAUAUAUAAAUACAGAGACAAUAUAAAUAAAAUAUACGAAGGGGAUAAAUAGAAUAAAUAGGAAUAAAAAUAAAAAUACAAGUGAAUUGCACAUUUCAAGUAUUGAGUCUAUUGCACCGUUGACUAUUUACAAAAGUAUUGCACAAAAGGUAUUGCACAGUGAGGUGAAGAGGCACUACAGCUUAGUUGUUCCCUCCUUUGUCCUCCUGUCUCCCCUCCCUCUCCCCUCCAGAGAGGAGUUAAACAGUCUGAUGGCGUGUGGGACAAAGGAGUUUUUAAGUCUGUUAGUUCUUGUCUUUGGGAGAAGCAACCUGUCACUGAACAGACUCUUCUGGUUGUUAAUGGCCGUUUUUUUCUUUUUUUUUUUAAAUGACAUCAGAAACAGCAGUAUGCGACAUUACGUGAUGGCAGAGCUUCAGUUCAUCCUUUGUCAUUUUUUUUUUUUUUUUUAAAUAAAUAGGACAGGGGGAAUGAAUGAGAGAAAGAGGGGGAGAGAAAGAAAGAAAACCAAAGGGGAGCAGAGACGGUGAGAAGGGGGGGGAAGAGAGAGAAAAAAAAAAAAAAGAACUCCUGGGUCACCUGUAUGGAGAAAAAAAACAAACAAACAAACAAAAAAAACAAACAGAGGAGACAGCAAACAACAAAGAGCAACAUAAUAAUAGAGAAAACAAAGCACCAUCACAAUAAACUAGCUAGUCAUAGAUAUCAAUAUUUACUAAAUAAUAAACGAUAUUGUGCAGCACGCAAGAUAGACAGCGCACAGUGUGCUUUGAGGCAGCAGCCAAGAAAGCUUUAGUCCGCGUCUGUGAAUACCCAUGUGUGCAUACCUGUGUGGAUCAGCAUGCUUGCAUUCCAAAGGUUUCUCCAUGUAAUGAUCUGCUAGGGAGUGUGGGGGGGCCACAGCCCCGUCCUCCAGGGUGUGAAGCGGGUAUGGAGGAGAUCAAAACUCCAGACAUCCAGAGGCCCCCAGAACACAAGAGACCAUGGAAGACCAACAGAGGGGCAGCCGCGCCACUGUUCCAGUAAGAGCUGAGGAGAGUCCCAGAUGAGGGCUCACCCAGCAGCCGCGGAGCAGAAGUCAGGGGGAGUUGCAGUGACGCGCCCGUGAGCUCCGCCGGCCCCCAGCCGUGCCUGAGUGACCGAGCCCCAGGCCGAGAGGCCGGGGGCACCCCACCUCCAAAGGGGCCCGAGUGAGCCCCAGGCCCCAGGCCCCAGGCCCCGACAAGCGGCCGCCAAGGAGUGAGCCGGUGUGUACCCGGACGCCCACCCCCAGACACAAAGAACCACCAACACACCGACACCUGAGGGAGUCCGCCACCGGCAGGGGAAGUGGUGGUGGGGGGAGAUAGGCCUCCAAACCUUGGAGGGCCUGAGAUGUCCCCAGAGAGGUGGCGUCUGACACCCAACCUGACAUAUAGACACAGAC
Molecule: long non-coding RNA, 1442 nt
Organism: Astatotilapia calliptera (eastern happy)
Lineage: Eukaryota; Metazoa; Chordata; Actinopteri; Cichliformes; Cichlidae
Source: Ensembl